UAUUUGCAUAUGAGUAAAAAUCUACACAAAUACACCUUUGUGCUAAACGGAAGUAUGAAAAGCCAAAUGCAGUUUCCAUAAUGUCAAACUGAAUGGCAGUGCUUGUGGAAAACGAACGUUUAAAAGAACCUAACUAUUAAAGAACUGGGGACCUAGAAAGGAAGCUCUUGUCAUUAUAGCUAUAAUGGAGGCAAAAUAUUUUAAAUAAAGAAACAAGGUAGAUAUUGAAGGGGAACUGCAAGUUUUUAUUAUGCAUGUAAUUAAGAGUAACAUGGAAUUCUAUUCCAAAAUACUGUUUCUUCUCGUGUACUGAAAAGACUGGAUAAUGUUGGCCUAUAUUCAAUAUAGUUCUCAGGUGCUUAGAACAAGAAUUAGGUGGAGCUGAGAUAUGUAAAGCCAGAAGUUGUAAUCCAGGGACUCAUGAUGGCUUUUCAUUGUAAGGCAGGGUCCACAGCAUUUCCCAAGGUAUGGUCUCCUGGUCAUCACCAUCAGAAGACCUGAAUCAUACCUGAUGUUCCUUCUUCUCAUUGACCCCUGAGAAGGAAAGACAGAUGUGCAAAGCAGUGGUGGGGUAAACCAGACUUCUCCAACCUGGCAUGUCAACAGGGAGCUCUCUGGGUUUAAGACUCUUGGCACCUCUUCUCUACUGUGUAUACUCAACCAUGGCUUCUACCUAAUUCUGGAUUUAUUUAGACUUACCAGGUGCCGUUCUGAUCAAAAGAGAGAUUACACUGUAUUCAGUGGGUUUCUGAGGUGUCAUUCUGAAAUAGCUCAUUUUCCAUUGUGUUGGAUAGCAUGCACUGAAGCCUUAGUCAGGUCUCUGGGUUGCACUCCCAGCUGGUGAGCACCUGCACCCUACACUGGGUCAAGCCCGGUGGACUGCGAAGGAAGCUUCACCACAACAAUAUGACUGGCUUAAAUAUCCCACAGAUCAAAUAAGCAUGAAAAUUGUGAUGUCUAGUUCACAGCAAAAAAUGUAGAUUUGUAUCCACAUACUAGAACAUGGUUUAGCAUUGAUUUAUUAAAUAUACAAUUAAUAAGAUUACAGUUCUAAUAAGUCUAAUGUAUAUUGAAUGUGUAAGUUCUUGAAUUUUGUAGUAUUGAAGUCACAUGGCAAGCCAUCCUAUUGCCUUAGGUGUUAUCAGACAACGCGUUUCUGAAAAUCAGAAUGUUUGCUUCUAACUUGAUAUGCCUACACUAAAAGAUGAUGUACAGCUACAGGUGUAAGUCUGUCUAGAUCAGCUAGUCUAAAAGGUCAGCACUGAAGUUGCUAGUGUUGAGUUUCUUGCACUUUAUGUCUUGCAAUGUUUGAUAAUUUCAAGAUAAUAGCAGCUUAUUUAAUUUCUUUUUACCAAAUUAUAUAUAACAUAAUCAAUAAAACAAUGUAUUACUGUAUGUGCAGUUUACCCUGCAUGUUAGCAUAAGAUUGAAGGCAAGUGUCCAGGCUCCAGGACAGAGGUGGCUCAGUUGAUUGCUAAUGGUCACAUGAAAGGGUGUAUUUGAAACAUGGAAGUAGAAUCCCAGCAAAGUGGGCUGAAAGCACAUCCUGGCCACACUAUCCAAACACACUGCACUUACAGCAGCCUGCCCACCUCGCCUGCAAAGCUAAUAGAGGCACUGUCUGUGCCCCUGGGAACACAGCCUUCUUCUAUCAGCUUGCUGUUACUGAUGCUGUUGUUAUUACUGAAGAGGGGGAUAAAUUAAAAGCCUGAUCUGGGCUUAUGCCCUUUCCUGGAGUGUAGCAUGUCUUAAAGAACAGUGAUGUGCUGGUCACAAGAUCAAUCUGAACUUAGAAGAAUAAAAUUUACCUAUUUCUGAAUCUCUUGCCUGCCAUGGAACAAAGCAGACACAUUCUUGCUUGCCUUUUCUUUCUCUUUUCCAUCUCUCUCUCUCUUCCAUUCUUCCUGCUGCUUUUUCAAGCUUUAUUAAUAAAUUGGCCAUAAUUAUACAAAAAUACUGCAUUAUAUACAAAGAUUAUACAUAAGAAUUGCAUCACAGAAUUCUGUAAAGGCGUUCUAGUUAGUACUUUGAAGAUACAAAUACCUUGCUAUGGAUAAACCUGUAGUUUAUCAACCAGUAUUUCUCUUUCACACAUAAUCUCUUAUAAAAGCCUUCUCCCCCAUAACAUGAAACUGUAAUGGGUAUAAGCCAAGCCUCCCUUUGACUACUGGUUCAUUUCACAUAGAUUUGCCUUGUUCCAAGGAUGGUCAAAGCAUUGGUAACUGCCUCAAACCAUUCAACAGCCUAGAUCAUUCAAGGAGGUAAGAAAACUACAUGAGAGUUCUCCUACCCUUGUCGUCAGUCAGUCAUGGAUCUUGGCUCACCCAUACACAGAGGGACAGACAAGCAUGUAGCUUAUCUGAAGAAACAGGGAGUUUCUGAGGAGUUUAACCAGGACUUUUCCCCAAACAGGUCACUGUCGUAUUUAAAGAGUUACGGCUGCUCCUAAUUGUUCCUGAUUGCCCUGGGAGUAGAAGGUAUUCCUCCCUAACAGAGCAGCCUUAACUAGUAAGCAGGCUCUUUUGCUAUUUAUCCCUUAGCAGGUCUCAUUCCCCCUACAGAGACAACAGGGAAGUAUGGCAGUAUGGAGCAGUCUCCUGUCUUCCCCUGGAGAAAGCAGUGGCAGGAGUACAAGGGGUUGGCACACUUGGUACAGUAAAAAAAAAAGAUUCCCUGGUGGAGAGAAGAAAUUUCCACCUAAAUACUGCCUGGAUAGUGGCUUGUGUGAGUCUGCAUGUCCUAUGACCUCCCUGCUGUCACACAUAUGUGAGGCAUGGUCAUGCUCUGUGGUCCCUGGGAAACUGUAUGUCCUCUUGCAGCUAGGUACGCUAAUAAAUUAAAGAAGCUCCUGGAUGGCUCUGAACUGUACUAGACAAAACAGGGAUUGCAGGAGCAUAAGUAUUUACAGAUAGUUUUAUAUUUCUGUACUAAUAACCACAGGCUGACACGUGCUCUUCUUUUCUCCCAAUGUACAUAACUCCAUAUCAUUAAGGACUGACCUGAGCAAAUGGCCAAAGAGGGUUUAUGGCUCCAGCUGGUAGCUGUCCCUACCUGGAAGGCUAUAGCAUCUUGAGAAGGAGCCUGCAUUUCUGGUCCUCAGAGCUAUGGUCUAAUCUUGUAUCAUUAACUAAUAAGGUCAAGGGCAAGAUAUUCUCCAGUAUAAUUCCAUUAAGUGGUAAUUGAUAAGUUAUGAAAAGAAGUUAGCAUACACUUUACUUCUUACUACUUUAUAUAGCUAAUACCAUAUUUGUGUUAUCUAUACAACCUACUCACAACGUAUUAAAUUUUCACAUCUCUAGAGAAGGCUGUUCAGAAACUUUCCAAUUAGCCAUUCUGUUUAUUACUACUUCUCUGUUCACUCAUUAAAUCUAGUUCUCACCUUUCCACCCACAUGUCCUAGUGCCACCCACUCACGUAUGCACACACACGUCUCAUACGUACCACCAAGUCAUACAUAUCUCACUCAUUAAAUGACUCAGCUCGCCUAGUUCAUACCUGCUCAGAACACAGAAAUUAUCAGUUCCUCUCAGCCUACCCACCCUGUUUCACAAAUAAUGUCCUCGGUCAAGCAUAUGUAGCUUUUGGUAAAAAAUUUUCCCCUGACACAAAAAGAAUACCAGAGCUCUGGACUACCACCUCAGCUCUGAAUCCCCAGCAACACCAACACCUUCUAGAUCAGCAAAUCACAGUGGGCUCAGCCAUUAAAGACUCUACACCUUUUCCUAGGAUACCCUCAUGACUAGAACAAUUCUCCAGUCCCUCUUUGUGAGGCACUGGUGUAGGCCUGGAAGAGCAACUUUGCAGACUAAGGAAGAAGUUGACCUCACUGAGGAGACAUGAAGGUCUUGGUGUCAGUUUUGUAUCUUUUCCAACUGAAUUUCACAUAAAAUGCACAAGUUGUUCUUGGAACAAUUAUCGUAUCAAAAUAUCCCCUCUUAAAUGAAUGUCCUAAUGCAUGCUUUAGGGGGUUAAACUUUUCCUUACUCCAGUUCUAAAACUCCAGAAUUGUUGUCUGCAAAGUGUCCUGUUUCUGAACGCAGCAGCUUAGGUACCUCAGUGCACAAGAGAGCUGUGGGAUAUGAAACCUGAUCUCAUAAAAACGUGUCCCUGCCACCUAGCAUUGGGUAUCUGAUCCCUCUGACAGAGCAAGUGUACAAGACCCAACUCUGCCAUCAUUGUUUCCUAUUAGAUAACUUUGGCAGCUCCCUAUUCAUCUUGCUGUCUAUUUUGAUUCUCAUUCAUAGAUUCAAUGACUAGAGAGCUGAGGUGUUUCACUGAAGGGUGCAGGUACCACUAGGCACCUAGUGACUCCAAGUAUUACCAUAAUAACCUUCUUUUAGGGAUCUAGUUCAUACUCCAUCCUCCUUAUUUUUCAUUUCCAAUACUAAAUUGACCUUUAAAGCCUGUAGCUUUUUCUGUAGCCUAUGUACUCUCAAGCCAAAAGUCACUAAUGGAUAAAACCUAACGAGCAAUUAACCAUAAGUAACACAAGCAAUAUUUUUCCCACUGUUGAGUGUUAUCAGAAUUGAGCCUUUCAGGACUGUGAGCCUACCACAUAGGAUCACACCUUCUUUCUGUUGCAUAGGCUAAGGAAAUAACUAGAAACUACUAGAAAUUAAAGUAUUAACUAGAAAUCUGCUACUGAGGUCAAGUAGCCAAACUAAUAUUAUUCCCUGAAACAGGUAAAAACCAAAUAUUUUGUAAAUGUUACAAAGGUGUUGUUUUCAUACUACAAAAUAAAAAAAGAGGAUUUUCAAAAGAUAGCUUAUCAAAUUAUAAAUAAAACAGAUAAAAUUACUUGCUUUGUUGUUUUAAGUACAUAAGUACUUAAAAGUUCAGGCACCUGUGCUUACAGAUCAGUCUAGAGCUCUGUUUUGCAAUCAUAAGGUACGAUACGCUGACUAAAUAUCUUAAAUAUAGAACAUGAAAUCCCAUUCCAAACCUGAGAAAUGCUAACAGUAUUCCACUUGUAUGUAGAUGAAAUAUGCUUAUUCUAACAUUCAAAUAUUUACCCUAAAUUCCAACUCUGAAUGACUGUACGUGCUAAAAUGGCACAGCCAGAUGUUUAACUUGUUGGACACAGAAAUACAGCUGUUUCAAGCUACUUUUGUGUAGAGACGGAAGUAAUUUAGCUAAAUUUCAGCUGAUAUUUAACAUUUGGUUUAAAUAUAUUAUGACACACACCAAUAGCUCACUAAUUUUUAAUUAAUGUCUGUAUUAAUAGAUGCUCUCUAUUUAUCCCCUGUAUUAUUUUUGCAGGUCAUAUUGACUCCCCUGGGUUCUCCAUAUCAUUUUUCUGCUGUUCUUCAGAGACUGAUUCAGUCCAAUGACUUUCUUCUACCCAUGUUCCUGGGCCAAUCAAUUAUCCCUGACCCCUUUUCUUACUCUCCAACCAGCUGAGCUGAAUUUUGAUAACCCACAAAAUAUUUUGGGUUAAAACAAAUCAGAGAAACCACUUUCAACUUGCACAAUCCAUUAAUAAAAAAUGCAACCAAGCUUUUCCACGUCAGUGGAGGCUGAACUGCUCAGCUCUGCUUGCAGUAAGGCUAUAGCCAAGAUACAGAAAGCGAUUUAUCUACUCAGAUGCUUAAACAUUUGGGAUGCAUCUGAUUUAGAUUUAUCUAAGUAAUAAACUUUACAUGCUUCUUUUAGGACAAAAGCUCUGAGAGAAGAAAAUUCUUGUGGGAUGUGAGCUGCAAAUGCAAGUCUCUGACUUCCGAUGGAAAGCAAAGUAGCUGCUACUUUGAACAGAAAACCACUUUCAACAUCACUCAGUUGAGAAAGUAGGAACGCACAUAUGCAAAGAGAAGAACUUAUUGUGCAACCCUUCAUGGGAGAUCCAUGAUGUUGGAGCAGCAGAGCCACCAGCAUGCCUGCCCCGUGAGAUUCCUGAUGCAAUGGAUCAGUCUGGGCUCUCCCUGGGGCCAGUUAGCAGGCUUUUCUGCCUCACCCAUACUACACAAAGCAGCCUCAGUGAAAGCCAGGACUAUGCCCUGUGUUUUUCUCUUGGUGUUUGAUUGGCUCUGGAUAAGAAGCCAUAGAAAAGAGCAAUAAACUUAAUACCGACAUGUUCAACACAGUCACAGAA
Molecule: long non-coding RNA, 6088 nt
Organism: Apus apus (common swift)
Lineage: Eukaryota; Metazoa; Chordata; Aves; Apodiformes; Apodidae
Exons: 2
Source: RefSeq, a predicted model, not a curated record